GAUGAACGCUGGCGGCGUGCUUAACACAUGCAAGUCGAACGAAGCACUUUAUUUGAUUUCCUUCGGGACUGAUUAUUUUGUGACUGAGUGGCGGACGGGUGAGUAACGCGUGGGUAACCUGCCUUGUACAGGGGGAUAACAGUUGGAAACGGCUGCUAAUACCGCAUAAGCGCACAGCAUCGCAUGAUGCAGUGUGAAAAACUCCGGUGGUAUAAGAUGGACCCGCGUUGGAUUAGCUAGUUGGUGAGGUAACGGCCCACCAAGGCGACGAUCCAUAGCCGACCUGAGAGGGUGACCGGCCACAUUGGGACUGAGACACGGCCCAAACUCCUACGGGAGGCAGCAGUGGGGAAUAUUGCACAAUGGGCGAAAGCCUGAUGCAGCGACGCCGCGAGAGCGAAGAAGUAUUUCGGUAUGUAAAGCUCUAUCAGCAGGGAAGAUAAUGACGGUACCUGACGAAGAAGCACCGGCUAAAUACGUG
RNAcentral lists this ribosomal RNA (481 nucleotides) under uncultured bacterium. RNAcentral's name for it is "partial 16S ribosomal RNA". It matches the Rfam family "Bacterial small subunit ribosomal RNA", at positions 28 to 507 of the family's 1533-position model. The record is from RNAcentral.